GUAGUUUAUAAAAAAUAUUAGCUUUGGGUGUUAAAGAAAUAAGAGAUUUUC
This 51-nucleotide transfer RNA is filed under the name Bothropolys sp. SP-2004. RNAcentral describes it as "tRNA-Pro". The record is from RNAcentral. Lineage: Eukaryota; Metazoa; Arthropoda; Chilopoda; Lithobiomorpha; Ethopolyidae.